This 537-nucleotide ribosomal RNA is filed under the name uncultured Eubacteriales bacterium. Its description in RNAcentral is "bacterial SSU rRNA". It matches the Rfam family "Bacterial small subunit ribosomal RNA", at positions 209 to 764 of the family's 1533-position model. Lineage: Bacteria; Bacillati; Bacillota; Clostridia; Eubacteriales. The record is from RNAcentral.
ACUCCGGUGGUCUAAGAUGGACUCGCGUCCCAUUAGCUAGUUGGUAGAGUAAAAGCCUACCAAGGCGACGAUGGGUAGCCGGCCUGAGAGGGUGAACGGCCACAUUGGAACUGAGAAACGGUCCAAACUCCUACGGGAGGCAGCAGUGGGGAAUAUUGCACAAUGGAGGGAACUCUGAUGCAGCGACGCCGCGUGAACGAAGAAGGCUUUCGAGUCGUAAAGUUCUUUUAUAUGGGAAGAUAAUGACGGUACCAUAAGAAAAAGCCCCGGCUAACUACGUGCCAGCAGCCGCGGUAAUACGUAGGGGGCUAGCGUUGUCCGGAAUCACUGGGCGUAAAGGGUUCGCAGGCGGAAAUGCAAGUCAGAUGUAAAAGGCAGUAGCUUAACUACUGUAAGCAUUUGAAACUGCAUAUCUUGAGAAGAGUAGAGGUAAGUGGAAUUUUUAGUGUAGCGGUGAAAUGCGUAGAUAUUAAAAAGAAUACCGGUGGCGAAGGCGACUUACUGGGCUCAUUCUGACGCUGAGGAACGAAAGCGUGG